Molecule: ribosomal RNA, 496 nt
Filed under: uncultured bacterium
Lineage: Bacteria
Description: partial 16S ribosomal RNA
Rfam family: Bacterial small subunit ribosomal RNA
Source: RNAcentral
GAUGAACGCUGGCGGCGUGCCUAAUACAUGCAAGUCGAGCGAACAGACGAGGAGCUUGCUCCUCUGACGUUAGCGGCGGACGGGUGAGUAACACGUGGAUAACCUACCUAUAAGACUGGGAUAACUUCGGGAAACCGGAGCUAAUACCGGAUAAUAUAUUGAACCGCAUGGUUCAAUAGUGAAAGACGGUUUUGCUGUCACUUAUAGAUGGAUCCGCGCCGCAUUAGCUAGUUGGUAAGGUAACGGCUUACCAAGGCAACGAUGCGUAGCCGACCUGAGAGGGUGAUCGGCCACACUGGAACUGAGACACGGUCCAGACUCCUACGGGAGGCAGCAGUAGGGAAUCUUCCGCAAUGGGCGAAAGCUUGACGGAGCAACGCCGCGUGAGUGAUGAAGGUCUUCGGAUCGUAAAACUCUGUUAUUAGGGAAGAACAAAUGUGUAAGUAACUAUGCACGUCUUGACGGUACCUAAUCUGAAAGCCACGGCUAACUACGU